GACGAACGCUGGCGGCGUGCCUAAUACAUGCAGGUCGAACGAGAGCGACCGGUGCUUGCACUGGUCAAUCUAGUGGCGAACGGGUGAGUAACACGUGGGUAACCUGCCCAUCAGAGGGGGAUAACAUCCGGAAACGGAUGCUAAAACCGCAUAGGUCUUCGAACCGCAUGGUUUGAAGAGGAAAAGAGGCGCAAGCUUCUGCUGAUGGAUGGAUCCGCGGUGCAUUAGCUAGUUGGUGAGGUAACGGCUCACCAAGGCCGUGAUGCAUAGCCGACCUGAGAGGGUGAUCGGCCACAUUGGGACUGAGACACGGCCCAAACUCCUACGGGAGGCAGCAGUAGGGAAUCUUCCGCAAUGGACGCAAGUCUGACGGAGCAACGCCGCGUGAGUGAAGAAGGUUUUCGGAUCGUAAAACUCUGUUGUUAGAGAAGAACAAGUGCUAGAGUAACUGUUAGCGCCUUGACGGUAUCUAACCAGAAAGCCACGGCUAACUACGUG
This 498-nucleotide ribosomal RNA is filed under the name uncultured bacterium. Its description in RNAcentral is "partial 16S ribosomal RNA". It matches the Rfam family "Bacterial small subunit ribosomal RNA", at positions 28 to 507 of the family's 1533-position model. The record is from RNAcentral.